CUGUCACAACGGCUUCCUGGCGUGACAGUUGGUUUUAAUGGAGCA
Molecule: non-coding RNA, 45 nt
Filed under: unclassified sequences
Description: SAM-SAH-Weickhmann-2018 RNA
Rfam family: SAM/SAH riboswitch aptamer
Source: RNAcentral